UACGAAGGGGGCUAGCGUUGCUCGGAAUCACUGGGCGUAAAGCGCACGUAGGCGGCUUCUUAAGUCAGGGGUGAAAUCCUGGAGCUCAACUCCAGAACUGCCUUUGAUACUGAGGAGCUCGAGUCCGGAAGAGGUGAGUGGAACUGCGAGUGUAGAGGUGAAAUUCGUAGAUAUUCGCAGGAACACCAGUGGCGAAGGCGGCUUACUGGUCCAUAACUGACGCUGAGGUGCGAAAGCGUGGGGAGCAAACAGG
This 253-nucleotide ribosomal RNA is filed under the name uncultured bacterium. RNAcentral describes it as "partial 16S ribosomal RNA". It matches the Rfam family "Bacterial small subunit ribosomal RNA", at positions 524 to 776 of the family's 1533-position model. The record is from RNAcentral.